AUGGCUGCUCCUCUUUACGAUUUCACUAUUGGUCAAAAUGUUCGCGUCCCUUCCUAUGUGUCUAAAGAAAAGGCAUCUACUUCAACCAAGGCUGCAGACCUUGAUGAAACAUCUUCCUAUCGUUGCUGCUGCUCGCUGCUACUAGUACUACAGCCCUUAGUUGCUCGAAUGGAAGUUUUCCGAGCUGGCCGUGCAAGCAAUGGAAGCGGAAGUUCGACCAUGUUGAGUAUUGCUAGGGCUGAAGAUGCAUUUGCAGGCGCCAUGGUCCCUGUUGGAGUGCUGGUGAAGAUGUUGAGGCCUUGA
RNAcentral lists this ribosomal RNA (303 nucleotides) under Triticum aestivum (bread wheat). RNAcentral describes it as "partial small subunit ribosomal RNA". Lineage: Eukaryota; Viridiplantae; Streptophyta; Magnoliopsida; Poales; Poaceae. The record is from RNAcentral.